GAUGAACGCUGGCGGCGUGCCUAAUACAUGCAAGUCGAGCGAACAGACGAGGAGCUUGCUCCUCUGACGUUAGCGGCGGACGGGUGAGUAACACGUGGAUAACCUACCUAUAAGACUGGGAUAACUUCGGGAAACCGGAGCUAAUACCGGAUAAUAUAUUGAACCGCAUGGUUCCAUAGUGAAAGAAGGUUCUGCUGUCACUUAUAGAUGGAUCCGCGCCGCAUUAGCUAGUUGGUAAGGUAACGGCUUACCCAGGCAACGAUGCGUAGCCGACCUGAGAGGGUGAUUGCCCACACUGUAACUGAGACACGGCCCAGACUCCUACAGUAGGCAGCAGUAGGGAAUCUUCCGCAAUGGACGAGAGCCUGACGUAGCAACGCCGCGUGAGUGAUGAAGGUCUUCGGAUCGGAAAACUCUGUUAUUAGGGAAGAACAAAUGCGUAAGUAACUAUGCACGUCUUGACGGUACCGAAUCAGAAAGCCACGGCUAACUACGUG
This 497-nucleotide ribosomal RNA is filed under the name uncultured bacterium. RNAcentral describes it as "partial 16S ribosomal RNA". It matches the Rfam family "Bacterial small subunit ribosomal RNA", at positions 28 to 507 of the family's 1533-position model. The record is from RNAcentral.